ACGUGGAUAACCUACCUAUAAGACUGGGAUAACUUCGGGAAACCGUAGCUAAUACCGGAUAAUAUUUUGAACCGCAUGGUUCAAAAGUGAAAGACGGUCUUGCUGUCACUUAUAGAUGGAUCCGCGCUGCAUUAGCUAGUUGGUAAGGUAACGGCUUACCAAGGCAACGAUGCAUAGCCGACCUGAGAGGGUGAUCGGCCACACUGGAACUGAGACACGGUCCAGACUCCUACGGGAGGCAGCAGUAGGGAAUCUUCCGCAAUGGGCGAAAGCCUGACGGAGCAACGCCGCGUGAGUGAUGAAGGUCUUCGGAUCGUAAAACUCUGUUAUUAGGGAAGAACAUAUGUGUAAGUAACUGUGCACAUCUUGACGGUACCUAAUCAGAAAGCCACGGCUAACUACGUGCCAGCAGCCGCGGUAAUACGUAGGUGGCGAGCGUUAUCCGGAAUUAUUGGGCGUAAAGCGCGCGUAGGCGGUUUUUUAAGUCUGAUGUGAAAGCCCACGGCUCAACCGUGGAGGGUCAUUGGAAACUGGAAAACUUGAGUGCAGAAGAGGAAAGUGGAAUUCCAUGUGUAGCGGUGAAAUGCGCAGAGAUAUGGAGGAACACCAGUGGCGAAGGCGACUUUCUGGUCUGUAACUGACGCUGUUGUGCGAAAGCGUGGGGAUCAAACAGGAUUAGAUACCCUGGUAGUCCACGCCGUAAACGAUGAGUGCUAAGUGUUAGGGGGUUUCCGCCCCUUAGUGCUGCAGCUAACGCAUUAAGCACUCCGCCUGGGGAGUACGACCGCAAG
This 791-nucleotide ribosomal RNA is filed under the name uncultured Staphylococcus sp. Its description in RNAcentral is "bacterial SSU rRNA". It matches the Rfam family "Bacterial small subunit ribosomal RNA", at positions 115 to 892 of the family's 1533-position model. The record is from RNAcentral. Lineage: Bacteria; Bacillati; Bacillota; Bacilli; Caryophanales; Staphylococcaceae.